CCGGAGAAUGUUAUCACGGGAGACACACGGCGGGUGCUAACGUCCGUCGUGAAGAGGGAAACAACCCAGACCGCCAGCUAAGGUCCCAAAGUCAUGGUUAAGUGGGAAACGAUGUGGGAAGGCCCAGACAGCCAGGAUGUUGGCUUAGAAGCAGCCAUCAUUUAAAGAAAGCGUAAUAGCUCACUGGUCGAGUCGGCCUGCGCGGAAGAUGUAACGGGGCUAAACCAUGCACCGAAGCUGCGGCAGCGAACGUAUCACUUAAAGCGAUUCAGCGGGUUACGAUUGACGGAGCGAAGCGACGUCAAAGCGUAUACAAAGUCGAGUCGGUUUAAGGAUACGUUCGUUGGGUAGGGGAGCGUUCUGUAAGCCUGUGAAGGUGKSYYGUGAGGGWUGCUGGAGGUAUCAGAAGUGCGAAUGCUGACAUAAGUAACGAUAAAGCGGGUGAAAAGCCCGCUCGCCGGAAGACCAAGGGUUCCUGUCCAACGUUAAUCGGGGCAGGGUGAGUCGACCCCUAAGGCGAGGCCGAAAGGCGUAGUCGAUGGGAAACGGGUUAAUAUUCCCGUACUUGGUGUUACUGCGAAGGGGGGACGGAGAAGGCUAUGUUGGCCGGGCGACGGUUGU
This 621-nucleotide ribosomal RNA is filed under the name Salmonella enterica. RNAcentral's name for it is "partial 23S ribosomal RNA". The record is from RNAcentral. Lineage: Bacteria; Pseudomonadati; Pseudomonadota; Gammaproteobacteria; Enterobacterales; Enterobacteriaceae.